GACGAACGCUGGCGGCGUGCCUAAUACAUGCAAGUAGAACGCACAGUUUAUACCGUAGCUUGCUACACCAUAGACUGUGAGUUGCGAACGGGUGGGUAACGCGUAGGUAACCUGCCUGGUAGCGGGGGAUAACUAUUGGAAACGAUAGCUAAUACCGCAUAAUAUUGAUUAUUGCAUGAUAAUUGAUUGAAAGAUGCUAUUGCAUCACUACCAGAUGGACCUGCGUUGUAUUAGCUAGUAGGUGGGGUAACGGCUCACCUAGGCGACGAUACAUAGCCGACCUGAGAGGGUGAUCGGCCACACUGGGACUGAGACACGGCCCAGACUCCUACGGGAGGCAGCAGUAGGGAAUCUUCGGCAAUGGACGAAAGUCUGACCGAGCAACGCCGCGUGAGUGAAGAAGGGUUUCGGAUCGUAAAGCUCUGUUGUAAGAGAAGAACGGGUGUGAGAGUGGAAAGUUCACACUGUGACGGUAUCUUACCAGAAAGGGACGGCUAACUACGUG
RNAcentral lists this ribosomal RNA (505 nucleotides) under uncultured bacterium. RNAcentral describes it as "partial 16S ribosomal RNA". It matches the Rfam family "Bacterial small subunit ribosomal RNA", at positions 28 to 507 of the family's 1533-position model. The record is from RNAcentral.